AGUGAACGCUGGCGGUAGGCCUAACACAUGCAAGUCGAACGGCAGCACAGUAAGAGCUUGCUCUUACGGGUGGCGAGUGGCGGACGGGUGAGGAAUACAUCGGAAUCUACUUUUUCGUGGGGGAUAACGUAGGGAAACUUACGCUAAUACCGCAUACGACCUACGGGUGAAAGCAGGGGAUCUUCGGACCUUGCGCGAUUGAAUGAGCCGAUGUCGGAUUAGCUAGUUGGCGGGGUAAAGGCCCACCAAGGCGACGAUCCGUAGCUGGUCUGAGAGGAGGAUCAGCCAAACUGGAACUGAGACACGGUCCAGACUCCUACGGGAGGCAGCAGUGGGGAAUAUUGGACAAUGGGGGCAAGCCUGAUCCAGCCAUACCGCGUGGGUGAAGAAGGCCUUCGGGUUGUAAAGCCCUUUUGUUGGGAAAGAAAAGCAGCAGGUUAAUACCCCGCUGUUCUGACGGUACCCAAAGAAUAAGCACCGGCUAACUUCGUG
This 492-nucleotide ribosomal RNA is filed under the name uncultured bacterium. Its description in RNAcentral is "partial 16S ribosomal RNA". It matches the Rfam family "Bacterial small subunit ribosomal RNA", at positions 29 to 507 of the family's 1533-position model. The record is from RNAcentral.